CUACGGGAGGCAGCAGUGAGGAAUAUUGCACAAUGGGGGGAACCCUGAUGCAGCAACGCCGCGUGGAGGAUGACGCAUUUCGGUGUGUAAACUCCUUUUAUAUGUCAAGAAAAUGACGGUAGCAUAUGAAUAAGCACCGGCUAACUCCGUGCCAGCAGCCGCGGUAAUACGGAGGGUGCAAGCGUUACUCGGAAUCACUGGGCGUAAAGGACGCGUAGGCGGGCUUGUAAGUCAGGUGUGAAAUCCUACAGCUUAACUGUAGAACUGCACUUGAAACUACGAGCCUAGAGUAUGGGAGGGGGAGAUGGAAUUAGUGGUGUAGGGGUAAGAUCCGUAGAUAUCACUAGGAAUACCUAAAGCGAAGGCGAUCUCCUGGAACAUAACUGACGCUAAGGCGUGAAAGCGUGGGGAGCAAACAGGAUUAGAUACCCGCGUAGUC
RNAcentral lists this ribosomal RNA (439 nucleotides) under uncultured bacterium. RNAcentral describes it as "partial 16S ribosomal RNA". It matches the Rfam family "Bacterial small subunit ribosomal RNA", at positions 339 to 795 of the family's 1533-position model. The record is from RNAcentral.